UAAUCAGACUAAAAGCAAAAU
This 21-nucleotide non-coding RNA is filed under the name Caenorhabditis elegans. The record is from RNAcentral. Lineage: Eukaryota; Metazoa; Nematoda; Chromadorea; Rhabditida; Rhabditidae.